GCCUCUGGAUAGCGACCUGCAGACUCGGACGGAAGGCUCUGUCCUGUGAAGGCCUCCCCGCCCCCUUGCUGGGACAGCCCUGCUGCUGGCGCCUGGGCACACGGAUGGCGCAGAGGAUGCAGGAGCUCUGCGGUCUGAGUGGCAUUGUCAUUGACUGACGGACACGGUCCCGGACAGCGCAGGAGGUGGCCGCGAUGGGCAGACGGGCUCCCCACUGCAGAGGGGACCUCCAGGUGACCGGCUCUGCCUGUAGGGCGCUGGGGCAUGGAGGCAUCUGAAUGCUGUUUCUCAGCCUGAUGGAGACACUCAGAAAUGGAUUGCUUUGUUAGCGUGUCUAUGCCAUGACUCAUUAAAUCAUUGUUUGAAACCGA
Talpa occidentalis (Iberian mole) is the source of this 371-nucleotide long non-coding RNA. RefSeq lists it as uncharacterized. The transcript is spliced from 3 exons. The record is from RefSeq and is a predicted model, not a curated record. NCBI's taxonomy places the organism in Eukaryota, Metazoa, Chordata, Mammalia, Eulipotyphla, Talpidae.